UACGGGGGGGGCAAGCGUUGUUCGGAAUUACUGGGCGUAAAGGGCGCGUAGGCGGCCUGGCAAGUCGGUGGUGAAAGCUCAGGGCUCAACCCUGAGUCGGCCGGUGAUACUCCCGUGCUCGAGCACUGUAGAGGCAGGUGGAAUUCCGGGUGUAGCGGUGGAAUGCGUAGAGAUGCGGAGGAACACCGAUGGCGAAGGCAGCCCCCUGGGCUAACACUGACGCUCAGGCACGAAAGCGUGGGGAGCAAACAGG
This 253-nucleotide ribosomal RNA is filed under the name uncultured bacterium. RNAcentral's name for it is "partial 16S ribosomal RNA". It matches the Rfam family "Bacterial small subunit ribosomal RNA", at positions 524 to 776 of the family's 1533-position model. The record is from RNAcentral.